Oncorhynchus kisutch (coho salmon) is the source of this 4311-nucleotide long non-coding RNA. The record is from Ensembl. Lineage: Eukaryota; Metazoa; Chordata; Actinopteri; Salmoniformes; Salmonidae.
AUGUCCCCUGUCAUUUUUGCCAGUGGUGGUGUCUCCAGCACCAAGGUGGUUGAGGAGAUGGUGUCUGGUGUUUCCAACAUACUUCAGAUGUACAUUAAUGGGAAGAGUGUUGAGCAGAGUGUUGUUCUCAGAGAGGAUGGUGUUGAGGUGGACAUGACACAUUUAACAGGACAGGUCAUGACAGCCCUCAGUGGCACUGUUUUGAACUUCAGCAAUAAGGAGAAAAAUGAACCCGACAAGAGGGAACUGCUUUGUGUUGUUGCUGACCAUAUGAAGAUGCUUGAAGCUUGUAAAAGUCCAGAGGAGAUGCUAAAACAAGGAGAGAGCAACCUCAAUAUCAAAGGUGCCAAAUCUAGUCUUCGUCUGUCAACACAAAGUAUGGACAGACUACUCACUGAGGAGUUUCAGACCAAGGCCAAUGAAUCGAUCCGGGAGAUCGUUAAAAGAUUCAGGGGUUGUACAUCAUGUUGUUCUGGCACUACAUCAUCUUGUCCAACUCCUAGGAUAGGUGAGAUCAGAGACCUUAUGGUUGACCCUGAGGCCUCUGAGUUGGUAAGUACCUUUGUUUCAGACAUGGACAAUCUUACCCAGUCUAUCAGGGCAUCCUGCUCCCCUGCACAGGGUGAGCAGAUCCUUCUUGAAAACCAUCAAAGUAAGAUCUGGUCUUACACUGUUGGUUGUUACUACGACAUGAAAAAUACGCUGAAGAGGAUUCUUACCUGUCCAGAAAAAGGGGAUCUCGCAAGUACAUUUGUGGGGAGCACAAAAUAUUCUUUCACAAUGGUUCCAACUUUGUGCCUGGACGUCGGUCAUUCCAGUAAUGGUGAGGCUGACACAUCAGACUCCAUUUCUUGUAAACCACUUUUAAUAACCCCCUCAUCUAUGAAUGAACAAAAAGGACAAAGUGAGACCCCAAAACCUCUCUUGGCUCUCAACAAGUAUUUGCAAGACCAAGUCCUCCUUGACACCACAAAAGCGAUUGCCAGCCAGGUUCUAGUCUUGUAUAAGACUGAGGUGAUGGAGAAGUUCUCAUCUUCUGUUGGAGAGUGUGAUUCUGAAGAGUCUCUGGAGGCCAUUCUAUUUGUGGAUGGCAUCAUGUCUGACUUGAACGAUUUCACCAGUUCUUGUUCCCCCUCACCAUCUGAGUUGUUAGACAGUGAACAAUGUCUCUCCCAUCUCACUUUUCCACUUGGUCUGCAGGACAGUACCACCAACAGUGAAUCUACCCAGAGUCUUCCAAUUAUAAAUAUGAAGAAACUCUCCGGUGUGUCUUUCCAGACAAAGGCUAGAAAGGCAGUGAGUGAAGAUCUGAGAUCUGUCAACCCCUUUACAAACAGCUUACUGGGAGACUCUGAAGCAUCUAAAUUGCUGGACACUUUUGUAACAGAUGUGGAGACUGUUGUUCAGUCCAUGCAGGCACAUGACUCUGAAAAUGUCCGAAUUUCAAAAGUGAGCACCCUUCAUGCUGCUCGUAUUAUAUAUCAUAGAUUUAGAGAAAUGCUGAGGCGGUUUCUCACUCCCUGCCAAGACUCUGUAAAGGUCAUCGAUGGUGUUACACCAAUACAUGAUGAGACUCUCAAACAGGCUCCUAGUGAAAGUUUAGAUUCUCAGGUGACUUGUAAUAGUGAUUCUCUUGAAAUCCAGGCAGACCUUCAAACCUGUACCAAGGAGGUCAUUAGUCAGAUCCUCACUGUGUAUCACUCUGCGGAAUCCAUGGAGAAAUGCCUCUCUAGCCUAAAAGGAGAUACAGAAGACCUGUCCAAGCUUUUGGAUGCCGUUGUUUCUCAGAUUGACGUCCUUGCCGCCUCCAAAUCAUAUUUAUCUGUUGAUGACUAUGCUGUCAAUACACAGGACAAUUUGCACAGUGAGAUCAACAAUGAUGAGGAGGAGGCAUCCUCUAGAAGUCUUAAAUCCACAGCCUUUGACAAACUAUGUACUGAGGAGUUUCAAACUAAAGCCUCACAUAUGGCUGGUGGGAUCCUUCAAUCAGGGUUAAUUGGCAUUGUAAAUACCAGCCUUGAUGGUAGAAGUGCAGACAUUUGUGCAGAGUCCAGUAAUGAUGGUGAUGAUAGAGAUGUCAAAAUCCUUCAGAAGAGUGGAACUCCACCUUUGUUCACCUCUUCUCUGCACACCAAUUCUGCAGCAUCCAACAUCGUCAUAAGCAUCACUAAAGACCUUAAUAGCUUCACCCAGAUGACUAAAAUGUCUGAUGCGUCAGUGUCUGGCCAGUUAGAGAGAUCCCUGUCAGCUUCAACCCUUCCUGUCAGUGUUCACAACGAGGCCAAUGUGAAAGGAAAGAUCAUUUGGCCAGGCACUGUUAACCUGUUCAACAAUGUGUUCACCAAGGUCAAGGACUUUUUUGCCCAGCAACAACCGGUCCUCCUAGACAAUGUGGUUGAGGCCCCCAAACAUGCCGAAUCCAUAUGCAGAACAGCUACUUCUACACAAAUGACUUACAGUGAACAUGAAGGCAGCCAGACCAGCAUGGUAAAUUAUUCCAAAGCCUUAAUUAGUCAGACUCUGAUGACAAUCCAGAGGAGAGUGUCUAUGUCAGAGAGGAUGAGCACCUCAGAGAAAGGCCUCUUGACUCGUUCCAUCGUGGGCUCCAUGUUGGAGGAUGUUGACAUGGUGAGAACUGAUAGUAGACACGAGAUACACCGGCCAUCCUCCUCAAAGUCCUCCCUGUCCAUCACCUCUGCCAUGACCAGAGGGUCCCAGAGUGAUUUUACAAAUUCUCUUCCAGGCACUCCAGUCCCCGAUGAGUGGCCUGUUGAAAUCUAUUGUCCUAUCAUUAGGAGUUCGGUCAUUGAUAUGAGUGACUCCUCAACUCAUUCACAAGGGUCAACAAAUGACACAAGGCAAACCAUCUCUGCCAUAGUUGACAUUGUUAUGGAGGUCAUUCCAAGAGAAGAUAUGGAACACAUAGCCACUGCAGAUGAUGUCACUUCUUUUACAAGAAGACUUGCGAGACUCAGCCCCAGGGACGGUCUUCAGAACUUCUCACAUGAGCUCACUGACAAAGUUUAUGAGCUCAUAAAGAGUCACAACACCCCCCAGGCUCUUUUUGUGCCAGCUGGCAAGACCGUGUCUGACUCUAUUCUUUUGAAGCUGAAGACAGGAUUGAAUGCUUCUGAAGAAUCCAGGGAGUUUCCAUCUGACCUUGUAUACUCCUUUGCUACGGAGUCAAUAAAACGUCUGCUACAGCAGAUUGUCUUCUGUCUUCCUCCACCAUCACAAGGAUCCGAUUUCUGCCAAACUAUCAUCUCUGAUGGUUGUCUGCAGGACACAAGUCGGCUUAUCCCGAGCUCUUCUGCCAUCUCCAUUAGUUCCUCACAGGUUUACUGUGACACAAAGAGCCUUUUCACCAAUAUAAUGGUCAAUCAGGUCAUGGAUACCUGUUCUGUGGCCUCCAAUUCAUCAGAAGAAUUAUCAGAGUUGAUGAACAUAAUCAAUGGGUUGUCCCCAACUGAUGCUGGAACACUUGACUCUAACAGACCGGCUCUCAUGACCACUAGCCGUCAGUCUAGUGCCAAAUCAUUGCCUAGACCAUCUCUGUCUGGCAGCAGCACACACAACGGUGGAACUGUGGAUAUUCAAGUUUUAGGAGAGGUGGAAUCCAAGAUGGACAACAAAGAUCUGGAGAUGUCUAGUGCCUCUGUGCAUCCAUCAACUCCAUCAGCCAUGGACUCUGAUACACAUGCAUCAUUUGACUCCACUAGCAAUGACUACACCUCUUUGGUACUUUUACUGAUUGUUAGACUGCUGUCAAUGAUCACCCCUAUCACAUUACUGGAAUCCUCUGACAUUGGUGAAACAUCAAGAGUUCUCACAAAGAGGAUUCUGUCUGAGUUCUGUGGCACCUCAGGCCUUGAACCAACUCAAGCCUACCCCCAGAAUCUGAAAAUAAAAAAGAUUUUCAAGGCUGUCUACAAGGGGCUUCUUCAAGAAUUUGGGUCAGAGAAGAUGCUCCAGGUUGCAAUGAAGUCAACGGAUUAUGCAUUUGACGAUGCCCUGGUCAAAUCAUUAACUAGGGAACUACUAACGAAAUGCAAUGAGGCUAGCUCUUCACCUCCCUCCAUGACCCAGUUGUCAUCACGCAAUGCACUUGGCAGUGACGAGGUAGGUAAUUCUGGGCUUCCAAAAACUGGUAGAAAGGAAAAGAAGAGAGGAAGAUUCAGCACUCUCUGUGGACUCAACCCAAAGGUACAUAUGUCAUCAAAAUACACAUUUUUAAGAUUAUUUUUUAUUCAUUACGUACAGUAUGAUGGUAAACACUGUUACCCUUUGUGUGCAAUUUCUCCUACUGUAUAA